Molecule: unclassified non-coding RNA, 238 nt
Filed under: uncultured fungus
Lineage: Eukaryota; Fungi
Description: sequence contains ITS2
Rfam family: 5.8S ribosomal RNA (bases 1-52)
Source: RNAcentral
AACGCACAUUGCGCCCCUUGGUAUUCCGAGGGGCAUGCCUGUUCGAGCGUCAUUAUAAACCACUCAAGCUUAGCUUGGUAUUGGGGUUCGCGUGCCCGCGGCCCUUAAAAUCAGUGGCGGUGCCGUCUGGCUCUAAGCGUAGUAAUUCUCUCGCUAUAGAGUCCUGCCGGUUACUUGUCAGAACCCCCCACAUUCUUAGGUUGACCUCGGAUCAGGUAGGGAUACCCGCUGAACUUAA